GCCUUGGUAGUAUAACAAAUACACUGGUCUUGUAAACCAGAAAUGGAGAAGUAAAUCUCCCUAAGACA
Molecule: transfer RNA, 68 nt
Filed under: Soriculus nigrescens (Himalayan shrew)
Lineage: Eukaryota; Metazoa; Chordata; Mammalia; Eulipotyphla; Soricidae
Description: tRNA-Thr
Rfam family: tRNA
About the family: Transfer RNA (tRNA) molecules are approximately 80 nucleotides in length. Their secondary structure includes four short double-helical elements and three loops (D, anti-codon, and T loops).
Source: RNAcentral